UGGGGAAUUUUGGACAAUGGGCGAAAGCCUGAUCCAGCAAUGCCGCGUGUGUGAAGAAGGCCUUCGGGUUGUAAAGCACUUUUGUCCGGAAAGAAAUCCUUGGCUCUAAUACAGUCGGGGGAUGACGGUACCGGAAGAAUAAGCACCGGCUAACUACGUGCCAGCAGCCGCGGUAAUACGUAGGGUGCAAGCGUUAAUCGGAAUUACUGGGCGUAAAGCGUGCGCAGGCGGUUUGCUAAGACCGAUGUGAAAUCCCCGGGCUCAACCUGGGAACUGCAUUGGUGACUGGCAGGCUAGAGUAUGGCAGAGGGGGGUAGAAUUCCACGUGUAGCAGUGAAAUGCGUAGAGAUGUGGAGGAAUACCGAUGGCGAAGGCAGCCCCCUGGGCCAAAUACUGACGCUCAUGCACGAAAGCGUGGGGAGCAAACAGGAUUAGAUACCCUGGUAGUCCACGCCCUAAACGAUGUCAACUAGUUGUUGGGGAUUCAUUUCCUAGUAACGUAGCUAACGCGUGAAGUUGACCGCCUGGGGAGUACGGUCGCAAGAUU
RNAcentral lists this ribosomal RNA (547 nucleotides) under uncultured bacterium. RNAcentral describes it as "partial 16S ribosomal RNA". It matches the Rfam family "Bacterial small subunit ribosomal RNA", at positions 355 to 895 of the family's 1533-position model. The record is from RNAcentral.